Molecule: ribosomal RNA, 500 nt
Filed under: uncultured bacterium
Lineage: Bacteria
Description: partial 16S ribosomal RNA
Rfam family: Bacterial small subunit ribosomal RNA
Source: RNAcentral
AUUGAACGCUGGCGGAAUGCUUUACACAUGCAAGUCGAACGGCAGCACGGACUUCGGUCUGGUGGCGAGUGGCGAACGGGUGAGUAAUGUAUCGGAACGUGCCCAGUCGUGGGGGAUAACGUAGUGAAAAUUACGCUAAUACCGCAUACGAUCUAUGGAUGAAAGCGGGGGAUCGCAAGACCUCGCGCGAUUGGAGCGGCCGAUAUCAGAUUAGGUAGUUGGUGGGGUAAAGGCCCACCAAGCCAACGAUCUGUAGCUGGUCUGAGAGGACGAGCAGCCACACGGGAACUGAGUCACGGUGCAGACUCCGAAGGGAGGCAGCAGUGGGGAAUUUUGGACAAUGGGCGAAAGCCUGAUCCAGCCAUUCCGAGUGCAGGAUGAAGGCCCUCGGGUUGUAAACUGCUUUUGUACAGAACGAAAAGGUUUCUACUAAUACUAGGAGCUCAUGACGGUACUGUAAGAAUAAGCACCGGCUAACUACGUGCCAGCAGCCGCAGUAA